AUUGAACGCUGGCGGCAGGCCUAACACAUGCAAGUCGAGCGGAGCGGCGGACGGGUGAGUAAUGCCUAGGAAUCUGCCUGGUAGUGGGGGAUAACGUCCGGAAACGGGCGCUAAUACCGCAUCCUAUCAGAUGAGCCUCGGUCGGAUUAGCUCGUUGGUGGGGUAAAGGCCUACCAAGGCGACGAUCCGUAACUGGUCUGAGAGGAUGAUCAGCCACACUGGAACUGAGAAACGGCCCAGACUCCUACGGGAGGCAGCAGUGGGGAAUAUUGGACAAUGGGCGAAAGCAUGAUGCAGCCAUGCCGCGGGUAUGAAGAAGGCCUUCGGGUUGUAAAGUACUUUAAGCGAGGAGGCGUUACUAGCAGAAGAAGCACCGGCUAACUACGUGCCAGCAGCCGCGGUAAUAC
RNAcentral lists this ribosomal RNA (407 nucleotides) under uncultured bacterium. RNAcentral's name for it is "partial 16S ribosomal RNA". It matches the Rfam family "Bacterial small subunit ribosomal RNA", at positions 30 to 526 of the family's 1533-position model. The record is from RNAcentral.